This 98-nucleotide non-coding RNA is filed under the name [Bacillus] enclensis. RNAcentral describes it as "Bacillus enclensis ZTP sequence". It matches the Rfam family "ZMP/ZTP riboswitch aptamer (pfl RNA motif)". Rfam says of the family: Previously known as pfl RNA. ZMP is also known as AICAR. The record is from RNAcentral. Lineage: Bacteria; Bacillati; Bacillota; Bacilli; Caryophanales; Bacillaceae.
AUUAUCAGCAGUGACUGGCGAAAACGUGGAACGAACCACAGGGGAGCUGCGACUUAUUUUUAUCAUCAGCCAUCAUGCCGAUCGCCUGGGCAAAAGGC